RNAcentral lists this ribosomal RNA (795 nucleotides) under Atypoides riversi. RNAcentral's name for it is "eukaryotic LSU rRNA". The stretch from base 1 to 703 matches the Rfam family "Eukaryotic large subunit ribosomal RNA", at positions 86 to 664 of the family's 3401-position model. The record is from RNAcentral. Lineage: Eukaryota; Metazoa; Arthropoda; Arachnida; Araneae; Antrodiaetidae.
ACGGCGAGCGAAGAGGGAAGAGUCCAGCGCCGAACUCCACCGAAUGUAGGCGGUCGGAGUCUGUGGCGUUAGGGAGGGAGCGUGCCGGUGGACGGACGUCGGAGCAAGUCCUCCUGAACGGGGCUGUUUCCCAGAGCGGGUGCCAGGCCCAUAGGUCCGACGACCCCGCCGGAUAGCGAUCCUCUCCAGAGUCGGGUUACUUGGAAGUGUAACUCUAAGGAGGUGGUAAACUCCACCCAAGGCUAAAUACUGCCGUGAGACCGAUAGCGAACAAGUACCGUGAGGGAAAGUUGCAAAGAACUUUGAAGAGAGAGUUCAAGAGUACGUGAAACUGCUGAGAGGCAAACUGGUGGGCCCUCGAAAUCCCGUCUGCGGGGAGAUUCAGUCGGGUGUCGGCGGCCGUCUCGCAAUGGGUCUGUCGCAACCGAAGAUCGGGGCACAUUCCGAGAGGCGAGUUCGCCGGAACCCGACGCAUUUCCCGCCCGCACGAAAGGACGCCGCAGCCGGUCGGGUAGCUGCGCGUGUCGGCCAUGAGGACGUGGCGACGGCAGGUGACCGGCGGCCCUAGGCUUCUCCGGAGGCACUAACGGUCGACGGUUGAUUAGCCGGCUCGUCCGUGGCGCGACACCCGACCGAGGAAACACGGACUAAAUAGUUUCUCUCCACGGAGAGAAACCGAUAAUCCACUACUUUCAAUACGAGAGCGAGCCGUCGGACAGGCGCGUUCCUGCGUGGUCGGACAGUCACCGCACUGGUCGAUCUGGUGGGAGCGCGUCGUUGGUUUCCGAGUCAGGA